GCCGGUUUAGCUCAGUUGGUAGAGCAACUCAUUUGUAAUGAGAAGGUCGCGGGUUCGACUCCUGCAACCGGCACCA
RNAcentral lists this transfer RNA (76 nucleotides) under Methylocella tundrae. RNAcentral's name for it is "tRNA-Thr". It matches the Rfam family "tRNA". From Rfam's summary of the family: Transfer RNA (tRNA) molecules are approximately 80 nucleotides in length. Their secondary structure includes four short double-helical elements and three loops (D, anti-codon, and T loops). Further hydrogen bonds mediate the characteristic L-shaped molecular structure. tRNAs have two regions of fundamental functional importance: the anti-codon, which is responsible for specific mRNA codon recognition, and the 3' end, to which the tRNAs corresponding amino acid is attached (by aminoacyl-tRNA synthetases). tRNAs cope with the degeneracy of the genetic code in two manners: having more than one tRNA (with a specific anti-codon) for a particular amino acid; and 'wobble' base-pairing, i.e. permitting non-standard base-pairing at the 3rd anti-codon position. The record is from RNAcentral. Lineage: Bacteria; Pseudomonadati; Pseudomonadota; Alphaproteobacteria; Hyphomicrobiales; Beijerinckiaceae.